Molecule: ribosomal RNA, 484 nt
Filed under: uncultured bacterium
Lineage: Bacteria
Description: partial 16S ribosomal RNA
Rfam family: Bacterial small subunit ribosomal RNA
Source: RNAcentral
AUUGAACGCUGGCGGCAGGCCUAACACAUGCAAGUCGAGCGGAUGAAGGGAGCUUGCUCCUGGAUUCAGCGGCGGACGGGUGAGUAAUGCCUAGGAAUCUGCCUGGUAGUGGGGGAUAACGUCCGGAAACGGGCGCUAAUACCGCAUACGUCCUGAGGGAGAAAGUGGGGGAUCUUCGGACCUCACGCUAUCAGAUGAGCCUAGGUCGGAUUAGCUAGUUGGUGGGGUAAAGGCCUACCAAGGCGACGAUCCGUAACUGGUCUGAGAGGAUGAUCAGUCACACUAGAACUGAGACACGGUCCAGACUCCUACGGGAGGCAGCAGUGGGGAAUAUUGGACAAAGGGCGAAAGCCUGAUCCAGCCAUGCCGCGUGUGUGAAGAAGGUCUUCGGAUUGUAAAGCACUUUAAGUUGGGAGGAAGGGCAGUAAGUUAAUACCUUGCUGUUUUGACGUUACCAACAGAAUAAGCACCGGCUAACUUCGUG